RNAcentral lists this ribosomal RNA (406 nucleotides) under uncultured bacterium. RNAcentral describes it as "bacterial SSU rRNA". It matches the Rfam family "Bacterial small subunit ribosomal RNA", at positions 9 to 416 of the family's 1533-position model. The record is from RNAcentral.
GAGUUUGAUCGUGGCUCAGGACAAACGCUGGCGGCGUGCAUAAAACAUGCAAGUCGAACGGACCAAAGCCCGCAAGGGCUGAGGUUAGUGGCGAACGGCUGAGUAACACGUAGGUGACCUGCCCUGAAGUGGGGGACAACUCGUCGAAAGACGAGCUAAUACCGCAUGUGAUCACUGAUUCAUUUCAGUGCUCAAAGUCGUAAGACGCUUUAGGAGGGGCCUGCGGCCGAUUAGCUAGUUGGUGGGGUAAUGGCCUACCAAGGCUGCGAUCGGUAGUUGGUCUGAGAGGAUGACCAGCCAGACUGGGACUGAGACACGGCCCAGACUCCUACGGGAGGCAGCAGUUAGGAAUUUUGUGCAAUGGGGGAAACCCUGACACAGCCACGCCGCGUGCGGGAUGAAGGCC